This 73-nucleotide transfer RNA is filed under the name Caudoviricetes sp. Its description in RNAcentral is "tRNA-Met". It matches the Rfam family "tRNA". From Rfam's summary of the family: Transfer RNA (tRNA) molecules are approximately 80 nucleotides in length. Their secondary structure includes four short double-helical elements and three loops (D, anti-codon, and T loops). Further hydrogen bonds mediate the characteristic L-shaped molecular structure. tRNAs have two regions of fundamental functional importance: the anti-codon, which is responsible for specific mRNA codon recognition, and the 3' end, to which the tRNAs corresponding amino acid is attached (by aminoacyl-tRNA synthetases). tRNAs cope with the degeneracy of the genetic code in two manners: having more than one tRNA (with a specific anti-codon) for a particular amino acid; and 'wobble' base-pairing, i.e. permitting non-standard base-pairing at the 3rd anti-codon position. The record is from RNAcentral. Lineage: Duplodnaviria; Heunggongvirae; Uroviricota; Caudoviricetes.
UGCGAGGUAGAGAAGUUGGCAUCUCGUCAGGCUCAUAACCUGAAAAUCGUGGGUUCGAGUCCCUCCUUCGCAA